RNAcentral lists this ribosomal RNA (496 nucleotides) under uncultured bacterium. Its description in RNAcentral is "partial 16S ribosomal RNA". It matches the Rfam family "Bacterial small subunit ribosomal RNA", at positions 28 to 506 of the family's 1533-position model. The record is from RNAcentral.
GAUGAACGCUGGCGGCGUGCCUAAUACAUGCAAGUCGAGCGAACAGACGAGGAGCUUGCUCCUCUGACGUUAGCGGCGGACGGGUGAGUAACACGUGGAUAACCUACCUAUAAGACUGGGAUAACUUCGGGAAACCGGAGCUAAUACCGGAUAACAUGUUGAACCGCAUGGUUCAACAGUGAAAGACGGUCUUGCUGUCACUUAUAGAUGGAUCCGCGCCGCAUUAGCUAGUUGGUAAGGUAACGGCUUACCAAGGCAACGAUGCGUAGCCGACCUGAGAGGGUGAUCGGCCACACUGGAACUGAGACACGGUCCAGACUCCUACGGGAGGCAGCAGUAGGGAAUCUUCCGCAAUGGGCGAAAGCCUGACGGAGCAACGCCGCGUGAGUGAAGAAGGUCUUCGGAUCGUAAAACUCUGUUAUUAGGGAAGAACAAAUGUGUAAGUAACUAUGCACGUCUUGACGGUACCGAAGCAGAAAGCCACGGCUAACUACGU